This 411-nucleotide long non-coding RNA is filed under the name Bos taurus (domestic cattle). Its description in RNAcentral is "long non-coding RNA NONBTAT019699". The record is from RNAcentral. Lineage: Eukaryota; Metazoa; Chordata; Mammalia; Artiodactyla; Bovidae.
AUAUCAUUAAUAACGUCAUUGCAUUUGAACAGGUAUACAUUCAUAGUUCCUUGAGUAGAAAGAUAAAAACUGGAAAGGAAUACCACUUACUGAAUGGUGAAUAUGUACCAGACUAAAAAUGUGCUAUGGUCAUAAUAAAUCCACUCUGGAUCUAAAGGGGAAGUGGUGUGGGGAAAAUGAACAUUUACCAUCUUUCUGUGUAUCAUGCAUACUGACGGAUGUACAGGCUCACUCUCCUGCUGUGUCUCCAUAUUUAUGUUCCUCUGUCUCUGUCUCUCUCUCACACACACACAUAUUUACAUUAAUUCAAUUUUCAUGAAAUACUUGUGGGUUCAGUGCUAACACUCCCGCUUUAUAAAUCAUUCUCAGAUAAGUAAUUUUCUUUCCCAAGAUAAUAAUGAUAUAGACCAG